GACGUAGGUGGCGAACGUUAUCCGGAAUCAUUGGGCGUAAAGGGUGCGUAGAUGGCAUGAUAAGUUAUUCGUGGGAAACCGAGGCUCAACCUCGUGGAAGCUAGUAAUACUGUUUUGCUUGAGUGCAGAAGAGGUUAACGGAACUCCAUGUGGAGCGGUAAAAUGCGUAGAUAUAUGGAAGAACAUCAAUAACGGCGAAGGCAGUUAACUAUUCUGUUACUGACAUUGAGGCACGAAAGCGUGGGGAGCAAAACGG
This 256-nucleotide ribosomal RNA is filed under the name uncultured bacterium. Its description in RNAcentral is "partial 16S ribosomal RNA". It matches the Rfam family "Bacterial small subunit ribosomal RNA", at positions 524 to 776 of the family's 1533-position model. The record is from RNAcentral.